UUCGAGGAAAAAAUAAAUAAGAGUAUGUUGUUUCAAACAAGAGAAAGUCAGUUUCAAAUUUAACCUCAAUCGAGGUAUGGUUUAUUGCUGCAUCACACAUGAUUUAUUGUCAUUUGUUACCUCUACCAAUUUGAUUGUAUUUUGCUUAACCAUGUUUUUAGACGUAUUUGUUUAAGUAAAGGAACAAAUCGUUUUGAAAUAAUCAUAUUUGAUUUUUUAAAAGAAUAUUGUAGUUUUAACAGAGGAAAUAAGAGUGUCCAUGCCCGAGUCCCGGGUUUUCGGCGUGCCUGAUAGUGUUGUCAUUCUAUUUGGGAACAAUGUCGUCUGUCGUAGUGCUGUCCUGUCAUCGCAGCAGGCAGCAAUUUGGAACUUUUUGGAACGGCAAUUUAACCCACGUUUUGGAUAAAAAAAAUUGACCUCACAGAUUCAUUUCUGUCCUGGAUUCGAAACUCUUAACAAUUCUGCUAACGUGAAAUCCAAACGUAUUGGAUCUUUGCAAUUUAUAAGUUAUUUCAUUGGCAGACCGAAAACUCAGAUGUGGACAAUUUCGUAUACAUAAAUGCAUAAAUUGGAUUAGGACAUUGAAUUGAAUUGAACGUGAAAUAUUUUCAGAUUAAACUCUGAAGAUUGUAAACACAAGAAAGGCGGCAAAUUCAAUUGCAAUUAAUAAUGACAGCAGUGACAAACAGAGUUACAAACUUACCAAGAUGUGAAAGUUUGUUUUACUUUUUCUGUUGGACUAGUGCUGUCUUUUAUUCUAUUUAUAAAGUGUCUUUAUUUAGUACUUACUUUAAUGAUUAUCAUGAUAUCUAUAAUGAUUUUUCACAAGGAUGGAUAUGGCUAGGAAGGAAACAAGAUGUUUCAGAUCAGGAAUGGAAUACAUGGAUGCCAUUAAUAGUUAGAUUAAUGCCAUGGAUAUUUCUCCAUCACUCUGUUAGCUAUAUUAUAAAAGCUUUACCAAAUACUAUGCUAUUAUGUUACUGGUACAUUUUCACUUCUGUUUCAUUCUUAUAUUUUUCUAUUGGUAUAUUAGGGACAUUAUGUGCAUUAAUUCAACCAAGCAUACUGUAUAUUCUAACUUAUAAACACAAAGACCAUAUUAUAUGGUUCAUAAAUACAUUAUUUUUAUUCUUGAUACAUUUCCUUAAAAUUCGUGAUGGCAUUUUUCAAAGUAUGCUACAACUGAACGAUGAAGAACAUUAUCUUCUAACUCUUACUAUGUGUUGGAUUCAAUUAAGAAGCAUUAGCUGCAGUAUAGAUAAUAAACAAAUAAGUGUGGAUAACAAUUACACAGAUACAUCAUAUUUCAUAAAGGGUUUCUUGUGGGCAUUAGCAUACUCCUUAUAUUUGCCUACAUUACAAUUAGGACCAUUGAUUUUAUACCAUGACUUCAUUGAUUCUGUAUGUAAAAUGUGUAAACUGUUACAGAUAAAAAAACCGUUUCAAGCCUGGAAGUUAGCUGAACUUGGAUAUUUUGCUCUAAAUUUAAUCAGAUACACAUUUUGGAUAUUAUUUGCUAAUUUCUUUUUACAUUUUCUGUAUUUUAACGCAAUGCAUUAUCAUCCUAAGGUUGUUGAAGAUUUAAAUCCAUGGGCUUUAUAUGGAUUAGGAUAUUGCAUGGGUCAAUUUUUUCUAAUUAAAUAUGUCGUAGUAUAUGGCUUAAAUCAUAUCGUAUGUGCAAUUGAUCGCAUUAAAGCCCCUUCCCAGCCAAAAUGUGUUGCAAGAAUUCAUUUGUAUUCUGAUAUGUGGAAAUAUUUUGAUGAGGGUUUAUACAAAUUUCUUAUAAGAUAUAUUUAUACACCGUUGUUAAAAUCGAAUUUCAAUAAAUUAUUUGCUUCAUUUCUGUGCUUUAUAUUUGUUUUCGUUUGGCAUGGAAUGCAAAUAAAUAUUUUUAUUUGGGCGUUUCUUAAUUUUAUAGGAUUAAACAUUGAAAACUUAACGAAGUUAAUUGAAAAAAGUAAAUAUUGCAUUAACAUUCGGGAAAAAUAUAUGUCGCCAAUAAGUGCCAGAAGAAUUCAUUGUGUUUUAACAAGUCCUUUACUAGCAAUGUCAGUAAUAUCGAACUUUUAUUUUUUUGCUGGCGAAGAAGUAGGAUACAUCUACAUUUAUAGGAUAUUUCACGAUAUCUGGUAUUCUACUCUUAUUUUACUCUAUUUCCUCUAUUGUUGCUGCCAAGUUUCUAUAGAUCUAAAAAAUUGGGAGUCUAAAGAAUUUUGAUAGAAGUCAGACACUAUAAAUCGCAUAAAGGGAACUCCCAGUUCCAAAGAACUUUAAUAGUGUACUUCUGACCACAUCCGACAACCAAGGCACAAGUAUAAGAAUAUUGUCUUUUUAAUUCAUCACUUGUAAAAAUGGAAAACUGUUUAACUAAUUGUGAUGCAGGCAUAGACAACAGUUGAGUGUCUGAGAUGCAACUUCUGCCAGCAUAUCUAAUAAAGCAGCAGGACUAUCAUUUCCCAUAAUACCUGAAACAAAUGUGUGAUCAUGAAAUGUGAAAUGAUUAACAAUUGAAAAAAUGCAUACGAAUGCAAAGGUAUAGAUUAUGCAGAAAGGUAUAUUAUAUAUUCACUUAUUCAUUCUUCCAUAAAGAAAAAUUAUACUCAAUGUUUACUACAAAUAUAUAUAUAU
Megalopta genalis is the source of this 2628-nucleotide RNA transcript. It is a transcript of the gene named protein-cysteine N-palmitoyltransferase Rasp, with no coding region annotated. NCBI's taxonomy places the organism in Eukaryota, Metazoa, Arthropoda, Insecta, Hymenoptera, Halictidae. The record is from RefSeq and is a predicted model, not a curated record.